This 1082-nucleotide long non-coding RNA is filed under the name Dasypus novemcinctus (nine-banded armadillo). RNAcentral describes it as "lncRNA (ENSDNOG00000051766.1)". The record is from RNAcentral. Lineage: Eukaryota; Metazoa; Chordata; Mammalia; Cingulata; Dasypodidae.
CGGCCGGCCCCGCCGCCGGGUCUGCAGCCCGCACGUACCGCCGGCGGGCGGGCGGCUCGCGAGCACGGCGCAGCGCCGGGAAAGCCCAAGGCCCCCCGGCCGUCUCUUUCAAGAGCGGAGGAGCUGGAGUUGACUGUGCAAUCGUGGCCUGAGAUGUUAAAGGAAAAACAGAGGAUUACAACUGAACUCGCAGGAGGCAGAUGCUAAUAUCUGCAGCCCAGGAUGCACACCCUAGCCCAUCAUUGUCAAGAGAUAGAAGCACGGUUCAAAUUCAGAUCUGCUUGACACCAGAAGAAGUUCAACUAGUCGCCAUGCGGGACAGCCAUGAUGGAAGCUCUGAAACGUCAUCUGUCUUCGAGGACAUGCAGGGGUUAACAGGCUUCAAGUUUCCAGCAAACUGUCACCCACCCCACCCUAUGAAGUCACAAGCCUUAACGUCCUCCAUGAAAGCAAGUCUUUCUCUAACUACAGUGAAACAGCAUAUGACUUGGUCUUCAUUACUUUCACCCACUCUUUCAUAAAGGAGGCAUUGCCUCCCAUAGGUAGCACCGCUCAUCGCCACUCCAAAUCCAUACCUGUCCAAAGGAAUGAACGAAGUUCACUCUCAUUCAUUCGUAUCUCUGAUAUUUAUCACAUUUUCUCCUUCAUUGAUGAAAUCCAAUAAUUUGCAGGUGGUCUGACUUUGGCAAUAGCAGAAGAUGAAUGAUGUCCCACCCCCUUCUCUGCAGGUCGGUUAUGGAGUUGACUACAGUUCGUGUGGUCAGAUCUGUUCCUUAGCUCUGGUUCAAGCCAUUUGGGAAUUCUUUAUUCUGGGGGCUGACUCCUGAGUGGAGCUGGGAUUUUGACCUUGAGAGGAAAGCUUCAGCAGAACCAGGAUUUGGCCCUCGGCCAACCAGCUGCCUGCAGGCCUGGAACCCAAGGCCUCUCCCAGCCCAUUUGUCUCCCCUUUCCAGCUGUCUGGCCUCAGCUACUCAUCAGGAUACUCUGCAGUUUCCCCAGCUCUUUUUAGCCUCAGCUACUCAUCAGGAUACUCUGCAGUUUCCCCAGCUCUUUUUAUCCCAGCAUUUCAGAUUACUUUGCAC